GCACAAUAUGAGCCUGCUUGCCCAGGAAAGGACAAUAUUAGAAUGGCUGCCCAGAAAAGAGACAAAUGAGACUGCCUGCCCUGGAGGGGACCACAAGAGCCUGCCUGCCAGGAGAGGACAAUAUGAGGAUGGCUGCCCAGGAAAAAGCAAUAUGAGGCGAUUUUCCCAGCAAAUAGCAAUAUGAGGCUGCCUGCCCUGGAGGGGACAACAAGAGCCUGCCUGCCAGGAGAGGACAAUAUGAGGCUGCCUGCCCAGAGCAUGCUGAACAUAAUGCCCUGCAUGCAAACUCAAUAAAACCAGCUACAUGGACAUACAAAAUAAUAAUCUGGACUUAACUCAUUGACGUCUAUGGAAAAGUUGGGACUGCUGGGAUCUGUGGAAUUCCCAGUUGGACCCCCACCAAUCCGCUACCUAUCCCCUAGCCUGUAGAAGAUAUAUCUUCCGGAUGGUGGUUACACAUGUCGAAACAUGUGAUGGAGUGGCGCUAUUCCAGUUCCUGCACCACCUCAUUGCUUUUGUUUUAGGGUUAUCAGGAAGAAAAAAUAUCCUGAACUGGACCAAAGCCAAUGGCAGAGGAAGCUAGAAGUACUGAACCUGGAAAUUAUACAGAUUGUUCUUGUUUUUGUCGUUU
This is a long non-coding RNA of Hyla sarda, 631 nucleotides long. RefSeq lists it as uncharacterized. Lineage: Eukaryota; Metazoa; Chordata; Amphibia; Anura; Hylidae. The transcript has 4 exons. The record is from RefSeq and is a predicted model, not a curated record.